This 594-nucleotide ribosomal RNA is filed under the name Triticum aestivum (bread wheat). RNAcentral's name for it is "partial small subunit ribosomal RNA". The record is from RNAcentral. Lineage: Eukaryota; Viridiplantae; Streptophyta; Magnoliopsida; Poales; Poaceae.
AUGAAGCAGCAAGCUGACAAGAAGCAUUCGUUCCGGGUGUUUGAAGUGGGCGAUCUUGUCUACUUGAAGCUACAGCCGUAUAUUCAGACUUCUGUCGCCCCGCGGGCUUGUCACAAGCUCUCCUUUCGGUUCUUCGGCCCUUACAAGAUCAUCGCUCGAGUGAAUGAUGUUGCCUACAAGCUGCUUCUGCCGAAGCAUGCACAAGUGCACCCGGUCUUUCAUGUGUCACAACUCCGAAAGGCUCUUGUUCCAGGUAUGGAGGUUUCUGAAGAUCUUCCUGUUCAUUCUAACAUUCCUGUUGUACCUGUGAAGAUGCUCGAGCAGCGCUGGCGACGUCGAAGGGGGGCCAUGGUGGAGCAAGUCCUUGUUCGUUGGUCCAACCCAGCAGUGGUGCCUGAUUCAUGGGAGGACCAUGCAGCGCUCCAAGCUCGAUUCCCAGCGGCUGAGGCUUGGGGGCAAGCCUCGACACAAGAAAGGGGGGAUGUCAGCACCCCUGGCCCACAUGGCAGUGACGACCAGCGCUCGCCUAUGCUUCCCAGGCCGGUGCGGGCUCGCAAGGCCAACAUGAGAGUAGUUGGGCCCGAGUGGGUGUAA